UAACCUGCCCAAGAGAUCGGGAUAACACCUGGAAACAGAUGCUAAUACCGGAUAACAACAGAUGAUGCCUAUCAACUGUUUAAAAGAUGGUUCUGCUAUCACUCUUGGAUGGACCUGCGGUGCAUUAGCUAGUUGGUAGGGUAACGGCCUACCAAGGCGAUGAUGCAUAGCCGAGUUGAGAGACUGAUCGGCCACAUUGGGACUGAGACACGGCCCAAACUCUUACGGGAGGCAGCAGAU
This 240-nucleotide ribosomal RNA is filed under the name uncultured Lactobacillus sp. Its description in RNAcentral is "partial 16S ribosomal RNA". It matches the Rfam family "Bacterial small subunit ribosomal RNA", at positions 122 to 354 of the family's 1533-position model. The record is from RNAcentral. Lineage: Bacteria; Bacillati; Bacillota; Bacilli; Lactobacillales; Lactobacillaceae.